RNAcentral lists this ribosomal RNA (189 nucleotides) under Triticum aestivum (bread wheat). RNAcentral's name for it is "partial small subunit ribosomal RNA". The record is from RNAcentral. Lineage: Eukaryota; Viridiplantae; Streptophyta; Magnoliopsida; Poales; Poaceae.
AUGAACCUUGCUGGACGAAGAAUCCUCGUUCGCAGUGUACUGUCAGCACUCCCAACCUUUGCGAUGACGGUUCUGCUACUACCAAAGAAGCUUCUAAAGGAUAUUGACAAGACCAGACGGCGUUUCCUUUGGGCGCAAGAUGAAGAGCUGUCGGGCGGCAAGUGCAAAAUAAACUGGAAAACUGUUUGC